UAAGAGUCUUGAGAGCAUCUCUCUCUAAAACCUAGAGAGAGAAACCAGAUCUGAAACCCAACUCACCCCACCCCACCUCCCCUCCCCCUCCUCUCUCACCUAGAUCUUGAUCCUUCCGGAUCUAGAUUGACGGUGGAAGAGCUGGGGGAGGCCAUUCCAGAUCCAGAUCUGACUUUUACCCAAUCUCUCUUCUUCCCACUGCUCAUCUCCUUCAUCAAGGUUUUUCAGCUCCUUUCUCACCCUUGUGGUGAUUUUGUCACUCUCUGUGGUGUUCCUCUGGCGAUGUCCAGCAUAGGAGGACUUUGUUCCUUGGUUUUUCUGCUAUGUUCUUCUCACUGUCAAACAAUCCCAUACGUUUCCCGGUCAAAAUUCAAUCAACCACACUACACAUCUCCUCUCUUUACCAAGGACCUCUAAGAGGGUCCUUAUGGCUGCCAUUACAAAGUGCUUGUCACUUAUCUAGGCGAGUAUGGGUGCUCACGCAUGGGUUUUUCACCCCCCAUUCUCCAUUUUUACUGGCGGCUCCUCUGCGCGGUGCAAUCUGGAUAACAACUAGGGUUUUGGUAGUGGGCUGGGUCUUUUAUCUGGCCUAUGUUUUAGUUUUUAUUAAUUUAAGGAUUAAUUUUCUGAUACUAGAUUUCUUGAAGUCCAGGAGGAAAUUAAUUUUUGUUUUAAGUAUUUGUCUGUAUGGGCAUGUCCAUCAGACUGGUUCGGUGUAUUCCUUUCACAGCCCAUUGGGCUAGCUUGAGGUAGCUUAAUUGAUCCUCACUUCGCCAAAAAAAAAAUUAGACCAAAAGAUAUGUAAGUACUCAGUAUUGUAAAAAGGUUCUCUAUUUGAUAAUUAAUGUUCUCCAUUUGAUAAAAGUUGUCCAACUAUGA
Rosa chinensis is the source of this 879-nucleotide long non-coding RNA. RefSeq lists it as uncharacterized. Lineage: Eukaryota; Viridiplantae; Streptophyta; Magnoliopsida; Rosales; Rosaceae. The transcript is spliced from 2 exons. The record is from RefSeq and is a predicted model, not a curated record.